AACCAACUGAGCCAUCCAGGCGCCCCACAGAGGUCCCAAUUCUUAACAUUAGUGACUUAAGGCAUUGUUGCCCGUUUGCCCUUGUAGCUACUUUUAGUUCUGGAUUAGUUGGUUUGGAAUACAUCAGUGAUAGAAGAUUUCUAGGUGAAAUCUAGGAUUGAGGGCUCAAGACCGUUUCUGGGGAGCAGGUGCUCGAGAAAAUGAUUUAAGUAGUAGUUCUAAUGUCACAUCUUUUAGAAGUUCUCCGUGACCUCCCAAUUAAGUCAUGCCCCCUAUCACACACGGUCAUGGUGCCCUGUAGUUUUCCUUCAUAGUUUUCCUCAGAAUUUGGAUAUAUUUGUCGAUUUGUGCAGGUGUCUGGUUAAGGUCUGCUUUCUCAACUAUACUGUGAACUCUUCCAUGUCAGGGAUGAUUUUGCUUAGUAGUGUCUGGUAUGUAGUAGUUACUCACUAAAGUUUUGUUGAGUAGUAAAUUAGUGAAGAGAAAUACUCUUUGUUGGUGAAGAACUACAGAUGGAGCUGAUUCUCUUGAAACCAGGAAAGGUCUGGUGGUUUUACUCUAUGCUUCCUUGGAAGGACUGUCUUCUCAUUUAUAAUCAUGAAGACAGGCCAGCAGAUAACUACCCAGUGCAGCUGGUCGGAAACUUAGGGAAACAACGUCUUGCUGACACAAGUCUCUGAGCUCUUGGUAAUGCUGAAGUCCAUUAAACUUCAUAAAUAGUGUCUGAUGAGGAAAGUAGUGAUUUUGGAUCAAAACGGGAAAGGAGUCAGAGGUCAGUUUCCAGAACGUGAAGGAAAUCACGUAGCUCUUCCUUGAGGACUGCUAUGUCUAGACAGGCUACAAUGCACACUGUUAGCCCAUAGAACAAUUUCACUGUUGGGCAAAACCUGUGGUGUCCAGAGGAAGCACAACUCUUUUUGUCUCACUGAGUCCCCUUUAGUCCUAAUAGAUUAUACCUCAGAAGGGGGUCUGGUGGUCUCAUCUUUCUCAUGCCCCCUUCCUCUUCUUACAUACACUUUCUAUCCCUCAGCUGCCCCAAGGGAUCCAGCUUUCUCCUGGAUAGUUCCAAACCCCUUGAAAUUCUCUGAAUGAUUCCUAUAGGUCUCUAAUGAGUUUGGCUGUAGUUCCUUCAGAUUCUCCAGGGCGGAGCAACCUCAAGACAAAAAAGCCUUUCUUUUGCUAAUUUUAGCCCCUCCAUAAUAUCAGUUUGCAGAAAUAUUCUGUGAGCAGAGUCUGUUUCUUUACUCUGCCUCUUAGUUGGAGGAUAUGUACAUAGAGUAGCAUUUCCCAAGUUGAGCUUUGUGGAAUAUCACUUUCGGGAGUUAUUGACUUAUUCAUGCAUUAACACAUAGGUAGUUAGCAUCUACUACUGUGUGUCAGAUUCUGAGCUAAAUGGUGAGAAAAGAGAGCCAUAGGCCUUCCUUUCAGGGAGCUCACCAUCUAGUGAAGAGACAGCUAUUAAGGAAGUGAUCAAUGACGUGUGAAAUUUUCAUAUGAGCCGCCUGUUGGGAUGCAAGGCAUGUUGGUCUAACUCUUGGGAAAUGACUUGUCUGGGAGGCCAGCUGACACCAGCAAAUAUAAAGUUGAAGGGAAACAUCAACGGCUACCACCAACUCUGUCCAACUCAGUGGGAGCCAUGCUCCGAGGUUCAACUUUGCCCGCCCAAAUGAACUACUUUCUCCAUGGAAGAGUCCCGCAUGGAAUGGUAAAGGCAGGGACCCUGCUGGGAACCAGGAAUGUGAAGGGGUUCACACAUUGAACAAGUUGCAGCUCACAUUCUCCUCUGGAAGAGAUGUGCCUUUUCUUAAUAUUGGCGCUCACACUAAGGGAUAAACAUAGGACCCCCCAUGGUUGAGGAACGUCCCAAACUGAACUCCUGAGAGUCGGCAUCUGCACAUAAUUACUUAGGGCACAUAAUUCUUUUAUGGGUGCUCGCUUAGGAAAGCAUUUACAUUUACAUUCACAGCUCAUUAGGUUGCUUGUGAAUUUGAUUUGAACAUUUUAAGUGGGAUUGUUUUUAAUCUUUGGAGGCACUAUAAACUCACAGUCACGCUCAACUGCCACAGACUGUUGGAAGGCAAACCAUAUAGCUGGUUUGUUUUGCUUCCUAGGAGGAAGGUAAGGGCUGAACUGACCAUGGAUAUUCUAAGGGGACUUUUUUUUUUCUUUUUUUCUUUUUUCUGAGCCCAAGGCUUAUGGAACUAUUGUGAUCACAAGUGAAGUUGCUUGAAUCUCUGACGGAGAAAGAACGAAAUUAAACGUGACUUCUGAAUUGUUAUAAAAAAUCAUAAAAUAACAGAUCUUUCAACCAGAUGUUUAAUUUUAAAAUAGCAAACAUUGCAGACUUUCUGGAGUCUGUCAAUGGUUUGAAAAACCAAUUCAUUCACUUCCCUUGGGCUCUUGCAUUGCCUGGUAAUGAGCUCUGUUGGUCUUUAGCAAGGCAGUCGCUAUCAGCAGCACAUUUGGAAGUGCACUAUCUAAUGAAAAAAAUUUUUUUAAGGAAAACAGAUACAUUUUGCAAUUUAUUCAUGUUGCCAGGUGUUCCUUAGCUGUGCACUUAGGGGCCUGAGUUAAGUGCCUGCAGUUUUCUGUUUUUCAUGGGAAAACUAUAAAAUGAGAGAUUUGCUGUUGUGCAUUGCUUAAUGAAGACAGGUCCUCCUUGAGUGUCUGCAGGCAUGUUUGAUUUCAAAUUCAAGUGUAAUGUUAAAGGGACCCUUUCAUGCCUUGGUACUUUAGUGUGAUCCUGGUAGAACGGGUGGCACAUAUUGUAGUCUGAUUUUCAACAUGUAGUAGGAAAAAAACCCAGCUAAUCCCUUGUGACCUUGGAAAUGAUUUGUUAGACUUGAUUAGUGUCUGUUUGGAUUAUCACAGGGUGGGGGAAUUUCUGGGACAAAUGCUCUCUAGAGCUUCUUACCCACAGGCAGUGCUUUUUUGACAAUUUUCCCUAAGGUAACUUAUUGAGAUGAUGGUUAUUAAGACAAUGAGAAAAAGGCUUUGGAGAAAGAUGUGCCAACACAAGGAUCGUCUGCUUAUGUUAGACUGAAACAUCAGUGGUCAGACCACGAGUCACCAGGAGAAGAAGGAAAAGUUGAAGUGCCCUCGUCUGUUUCCUUUCCCUACCAGCCCAGAGUGCGGGCCCCACCUUUCAGCCCUGUGGAGCAUUUGUCUUUUGUGACUCUGUUCCCUCCCUCUGGCUCUGCCUCUACUUCCUUUAGUCCCUAGACCUGAAUGUAAUCCUCUGACAAUUCUUAUUUUUCACCCUUUUCACAACCCUAGAUGGUUGUCCCAAUCAACCCAGGCCUCCUCUGGAGAGAAACUUGUUCUGGAAAGAACAAGUGUGUUUAGCUGUGGCCAUUGGUGGACUUCAUACCAUUCACGGCACUACUCUAACGGGCGCCAUUCUCCAGACUCAAAUGUGAGUGGUGCCCACUGGAGUUGUGAUAUGUGGUAGCCCUAGUGCCUGGAGUCUUGGCAGAUAAGUUUGUUAAAUGUCUGAUGUGAUAGAUUCUAAGCAUCUUGAGGACAGGCCCCAUAUUCCCCAUAAGGCUUAGCAUAAUACCUUGCAUAGAGCAUGUAUGUAAUAAGAAUUGGUUGAAGGAAGGAACUGGGAUAUGCUCUGGGCAGGAAAAGUGCAAUAAACAAAA
Molecule: long non-coding RNA, 3644 nt
Organism: Felis catus (domestic cat)
Lineage: Eukaryota; Metazoa; Chordata; Mammalia; Carnivora; Felidae
Exons: 3
Source: RefSeq, a predicted model, not a curated record